GACGAACGCUGGCGGCGUGCCUAAUACAUGCAAGUCGAACGAGAGCGACCGGUGCUUGCACUGGUCAAUCUAGUGGCGAACGGGUGAGUAACACGUGGGUAACCUGCCCAUCAGGGGGGGAUAACAUUCGGAAACGGAUGCUAAAACCGCAUAGGUUCUUUAGUCGCAUGACUGAAGAAGGAAAAGAGGCUUCGGCUUCUGCUGAUGGAUGGACCCGCGGUGCAUUAGCUAGUUGGUGAGGUAACGGCUCACCAAGGCGAUGAUGCAUAGCCGACCUGAGAGGGUGAUCGGCCACAUUGGGACUGAGACACGGCCCAAACUCCUACGGGAGGCAGCAGUAGGGAAUCUUCCGCAAUGGACGCAAGUCUGACGGAGCAACGCCGCGUGAGUGAAGAAGGAUUUCGGUUCGUAAAACUCUGUUGUUAGAGAAGAACAGCGCAUAGAGUAACUGUUAUGCGUGUGACGGAUCUAACCAGAAAGCC
This 482-nucleotide ribosomal RNA is filed under the name Granulicatella elegans. RNAcentral describes it as "bacterial SSU rRNA". It matches the Rfam family "Bacterial small subunit ribosomal RNA", at positions 28 to 492 of the family's 1533-position model. The record is from RNAcentral. Lineage: Bacteria; Bacillati; Bacillota; Bacilli; Lactobacillales; Carnobacteriaceae.